RNAcentral lists this ribosomal RNA (336 nucleotides) under Triticum aestivum (bread wheat). Its description in RNAcentral is "partial small subunit ribosomal RNA". The record is from RNAcentral. Lineage: Eukaryota; Viridiplantae; Streptophyta; Magnoliopsida; Poales; Poaceae.
AUGUCGGCGAUCAACAACGCCACAAUCAUUCUCCUGCCAAAAAAGGAUGGGACAACAGAGAUCUCCCACUUCAGGCCAAUCAGUUUGAUCCAUUCGGUAACCAAGCUCAUCUUCAAGGUUCUCUCCAUUAGAUUGGCGUCAGUCAUUGGCUCCAUCAUCUCACCGGCGCAGACGGCAUUCCUGAAGUCGAAGUGCAUCCAUGACAGCUUUCUCUUCGUGCAAAACUCCGUUCGUGCCCUUCACCACCGCAAAACAUCGGGGUUACUAGUAAAGCUAGACAUAGCAAAGGCGUUCGACACCAUCUCUUGGGAAUACCUGCUAGAGCUUCUACAAUAA